GACGAACGCUGGCGGCGUGCCUAAUACAUGCAAGUCGAACGCUUCUUUCCUCCCGAGUGCUUGCACUCAAUUGGAAAGAGGAGUGGCGGACGGGUGAGUAACACGUGGGUAACCUACCCAUCAGAGGGGGAUAACACUUGGAAACAGGUUCUAAUACCGCAUAACAGUUUAUGCCGCAUGGCAUAAGAGUGAAAGGCGCUUUCGGGUGUCGCUGAUGGAUGGACCCGCGGUGCAUUAGCUAGUUGGUGAGGUAACGGCUCACCAAGGCCACGAUGCAUAGCCGACCUGAGAGGGUGAUCGGCCACACUGGGACUGAGACACGGCCCAGACUCCUACGGGAGGCAGCAGUAGGGAAUCGUCGGCAAUGGACGAAAGUCUGACCGAGCAACGCCGCGUGAGUGAAGAGGGUUUUCGGAUCGUAAAACUCUGUUGUUAGAGAAGAACAAGGACGUUAGUAACUGAACGUCCCCUGACGGUAUCUAACCAGAAAGCCACGGCUAACUACGUG
RNAcentral lists this ribosomal RNA (508 nucleotides) under uncultured bacterium. Its description in RNAcentral is "partial 16S ribosomal RNA". It matches the Rfam family "Bacterial small subunit ribosomal RNA", at positions 28 to 507 of the family's 1533-position model. The record is from RNAcentral.